Molecule: ribosomal RNA, 508 nt
Filed under: uncultured bacterium
Lineage: Bacteria
Description: partial 16S ribosomal RNA
Rfam family: Bacterial small subunit ribosomal RNA
Source: RNAcentral
AUUGAACGCUGGCGGCAUGCCUUACACAUGCAAGUCGAACGGCAGCGGGGGAGAAGCUUGCUUUUCCUGCCGGCGAGUGGCGAACGGGUGAGUAAUACAUCGGAACGUGCCCUGUAGUGGGGGAUAACUAGUCGAAAGAUUAGCUAAUAGCGCAUACGACCUGAGGGUGAAAGUGGGGGACCGCAAGGCGUCAUGCUAGAGGAGCGGCCGAUGUCUGAUUAGCUAGUUGGUGGGGUAAAGGCCUACCAAGGCGACGAUCAGUAGCUGGUCUGAGAGGACGAUCAGCCACACUGGGACUGAGACACGGCCCAGACUCCUACGGGAGGCAGCAGUGGGGAAUUUUGGACAAUGGGCGAAAGCCUGAUCCAGCAAUGCCGCGUGUGUGAAGAAGGCCUUCGGGUUGUAAAGCACUUUUGUCCGGAAAGAAAUGGCUCUGGUUAAUACCUGGGGUCGAUGACGGUACCGGAAGAAUAAGGACCGGCUAACUACGUGCCAGCCGCCGCCGUAA